GAGCAAUAUUGCCACGAAGAUGGA
RNAcentral lists this non-coding RNA (24 nucleotides) under Arabidopsis thaliana (thale cress). Lineage: Eukaryota; Viridiplantae; Streptophyta; Magnoliopsida; Brassicales; Brassicaceae. The record is from RNAcentral.